Molecule: long non-coding RNA, 501 nt
Organism: Bactrocera dorsalis (oriental fruit fly)
Lineage: Eukaryota; Metazoa; Arthropoda; Insecta; Diptera; Tephritidae
Exons: 2
Source: RefSeq, a predicted model, not a curated record
GCCGAUCAAUAUUAGCUUUAGGCUACCGAAUCAGUGUAGUGUUUUCCGGCAGAAGUGGUUGCUAUCAAAGUGGUGGUAGACUCGCUUGGAUGCCUGGUUGCCGCGGAAUCGCUGGCAACUACAAAGCCGAUGAGGUAGCCAAAGGGGUCACCCCGAUCACAUUGGAAUGAAGACGAGUUGGCAUCUUUCAUUCUAGCACUGAACCAAUGGACCUCGAGUGCACUUAGCAGAUCGAAGACCAACUCCAGUGCCAGGACGCGAUCCCUUUGGCAUGGAGUAGAAUGCAGGAGAUCUGUUGAACCAUUUGCCUUGAGCAAAGUUCAUCUUGCCGCUAACGUAGGCAUUAUUACUGGGCAGCAUUCAAUAGGCAUCCAUGCGCCUUUGCACGACUGAGGAUGAAAUAUCUCGAUGGUCUUACCUUCGGCAAAUCAGAAGACAUAGCCGAAACUGGCAUUAGCCGUUUCAACAAAUUUGUGUGAAGCUCAAAGCGACGAAGUGUAA